RNAcentral lists this long non-coding RNA (596 nucleotides) under Cucumis sativus (cucumber). Its description in RNAcentral is "long non-coding RNA (CSAT_LNC000895)". The record is from RNAcentral. Lineage: Eukaryota; Viridiplantae; Streptophyta; Magnoliopsida; Cucurbitales; Cucurbitaceae.
UUAAGAGCAACAACAUUCUCUUGGAUGAAGAAUUCCACCCACGAGUGGCUGACUUUGGUUUAGCGAAGACGAUGCAGCGCCAAGGAGAGGCAGAAGAUGGCAAUGUCAUGUCUCGUAUUGCUGGCUCCUAUGGUUACAUUGCUCCUGGUAAACAACAUUCAAUAGCUUCAGUUGAUGACCUAUAUAUAUUUGAUUAUGUACUCAUAUUUGUUAUAUUUUUGAACAACAGAGUAUGGGUAUACAAUGAAGGUGACAGAGAAGAGCGAUGUGUAUAGCUUUGGAGUGGUGUUGAUGGAAUUAGUGACAGGGAAGCGACCGAAUGAUGCAUGCUUUGGAGAGAACAAAGAUAUUGUGAAAUGGAUGACAGAGAUUUCAUUGUCAGAAUGCGAUGAAGAGAAUGGGUUAAGUUUAGAGGAGAUUGUUGAUGAAAAGUUGGACCCAAAGACAUGUGUAGUAGAAGAGAUAGUGAAGAUUUUGGAUGUGGCAAUUCUUUGUACCUCUGCUUUGCCUCUCAAUAGACCAUCAAUGCGAAGAGUGGUUGAGCUGUUAAAGGACACCAAAUUGCCUCAUUCCAAGUCGUGAACUUUGCAUCUUUU